Molecule: ribosomal RNA, 440 nt
Filed under: uncultured bacterium
Lineage: Bacteria
Description: partial 16S ribosomal RNA
Rfam family: Bacterial small subunit ribosomal RNA
Source: RNAcentral
CCUACGGGAGGCAGCAGUAGGGAAUAUUGCUCAAUGGGCGCAAGCCUGAAGCAGCCAUGCCGCGUGGAGGAAGAAGGUUUUCGGAUUGUAAACCACUUUUGGUAGAGAAGAAAACGCCGAUAUUCAUAGCCUCAGCACCGGCUAAUACCGUCCCAGCAGCCGCGGUAAUACGGCGGGUGCAAGCGUUAAUCGGAAUGACUGGGCGUAAAGGGCGCGUAGGCGGUAUGGCAAGUCAGAGGUGAAAUCCUAGGGCUUAACCAGGGAACUGCAUUUGAAACUGGUAUGCUAGAGUAUGGGCGAGGUAGGUAGAAUUCGUGGUGUAGCGGUGAAAUGCGUAGAGAUCAGGAGGAAUACAGAUUGCGAAGGCGGCCUGCGAGACCAAAACUGACGCUGAGGCGCGAAAGCGUGGGGAGCAAACAGGAUUAGAUACCCCAGUAGUC